AUUGAACGCUGGCGGCAUGCUUUGCACAUGCAAGUCGAACGGUAACAGGUUAAGCUGACGAGUGGCGAACGGGUGAGUAAUGCAUCGGAACGUGCCCGAUCGUGGGGGAUAACGCAGCGAAAGCUGCGCUAAUACCGCAUACGAUCUGAGGAUGAAAGCGGGGGACCGUAAGGCCUCGCGCGAUCGGAGCGGCCGAUGUCAGAUUAGGUAGUUGGUGGGGUAAAGGCUCACCAAGCCAACGAUCUGUAGAUGGUCUGAGAGGACGACCAGCCACACUGGGACUGAGACACGGCCCAGACUCCUGCGGGAGGCAGCAGUGGGGAAUUUUGGACAAUGGGCGAAAGCCUGAUCCAGCAAUGCCGCGUGCAGGAAGAAGGCCUUCGGGUUGUAAACUGCUUUUGUACGGAGCGAAAAGGUCCCCUCUAAUACAGGGGGCUCAUGACGGUACCGUAAGAAUAAGCACCGGCUAACUACGUGCCAGCAGCCGCCGUAA
This 493-nucleotide ribosomal RNA is filed under the name uncultured bacterium. Its description in RNAcentral is "partial 16S ribosomal RNA". It matches the Rfam family "Bacterial small subunit ribosomal RNA", at positions 29 to 523 of the family's 1533-position model. The record is from RNAcentral.